Molecule: ribosomal RNA, 423 nt
Filed under: uncultured bacterium
Lineage: Bacteria
Description: partial 16S ribosomal RNA
Rfam family: Bacterial small subunit ribosomal RNA
Source: RNAcentral
GAAUUUUGGACAAUGGGGGCAACCCUGAUCCUGCCAUGCCGCGUGUGUGAAGUAGGUCUUCGGAUUGUAAAGCACUGUAAGUUGGGAGGAAGGGCUUUCGGCUUAUACCCUGAAGUUUUGACGUCACCAACCGAAUAAGCACCGUCCAACUCUGUGCCAUCAGCCGCUGUAAUACUGAGGGUGCAAGCGUUAAUCGGAAUUACUGGGCGUAAAACGCGCGUAGGUGGUUCAGUAAGAAGGGUGUGAUAUCCCCGGGCUUAACCUGGGAACUGCUUUCAUAACUGCUGAGCUAGAGUACGGUAGAGGGUAGUGGAAUUUCCUGUGUAGCGGUGAAAUGCGUAGAUAUAGGAAGGGACGCCAGUGGCGAAGGCGACUACCUGGACUGAUACUGACACUGAGGUGCGAAAGCGUGGGGAGCAAACA